GUACACUCCUGCGGGAGGCAGCAGUGGGGAAUUUUGGACAAUGGGCGAAAGCCUGAUCCAGCAAUGCCGCGUGUGUGAAGAAGGCCUUCGGGUUGUAAAGCACUUUUGUCCGGAAAGAAAUCCUUGGCUCUAAUACAGUCGGGGGAUGACGGUACCGGAAGAAUAAGCACCGGCUAACUACGUGCCAGCAGCCGCGGUAAUACGUAGGGUGCGAGCGUUAAUCGGAAUUACUGGGCGUAAAGCGUGCGCAGGCGGUUUGCUAAGACCGAUGUGAAAUCCCCGGGCUCAACCUGGGAACUGCAUUGGUGACUGGCAGGCUAGAGUAUGGCAGAGGGGGGUAGAAUUCCACGUGUAGCAGUGAAAUGCGUAGAGAUGUGGAGGAAGACCGAUGGCGAAGGCAGCCCCCUGGGCCAAUACUGACGCUCAUGCACGAAAGCGUGGGGAGCAAACAGGAUUAGAUACCCCUGUAGUCCCAUGA
This 478-nucleotide ribosomal RNA is filed under the name uncultured organism. Its description in RNAcentral is "partial 16S ribosomal RNA". It matches the Rfam family "Bacterial small subunit ribosomal RNA", at positions 331 to 800 of the family's 1533-position model. The record is from RNAcentral.